GGGAAUUUUGGACAAUGGGGGCAACCCUGAUCCAGCAAUGCCGCGUGAGUGAAGAAGGCCUUCGGGUUGUAAAGCUCUUUUGUCAGGGAAGAAACACCGGCUCUAACACAGUCCGGGAAUGACGGUACCUGAAGAAUAAGCACCGGCUAACUACGUGCCAGCAGCCGCGGUAAUACGUAGGGUGCAAGCGUUAAUCGGAAUUACUGGGCGUAAAGCGUGCGCAGGCGGUUAUACAAGACAGGCGUGAAAUCCCCGGGCUUAACCUGGGAAUGGCGCCUGUGACUGUAUAGCUAGAGUGUGUCAGAGGGGGGUAGAAUUCCACGUGUAGCAGUGAAAUGCGUAGAUAUGUGGAGGAAUACCAAUGGCGAAGGCAGCCCCCUGGGAUAACACUGACGCUCAUGCACGAAAGCGUGGGGAGCAAACAGGAUUA
Molecule: ribosomal RNA, 430 nt
Filed under: beta proteobacterium SCGC AAA027-C02
Lineage: Bacteria; Pseudomonadati; Pseudomonadota; Betaproteobacteria
Description: bacterial SSU rRNA
Rfam family: Bacterial small subunit ribosomal RNA
Source: RNAcentral